RNAcentral lists this transfer RNA (73 nucleotides) under Rickettsiales bacterium. Its description in RNAcentral is "tRNA-Phe". It matches the Rfam family "tRNA". Rfam says of the family: Transfer RNA (tRNA) molecules are approximately 80 nucleotides in length. Their secondary structure includes four short double-helical elements and three loops (D, anti-codon, and T loops). Further hydrogen bonds mediate the characteristic L-shaped molecular structure. tRNAs have two regions of fundamental functional importance: the anti-codon, which is responsible for specific mRNA codon recognition, and the 3' end, to which the tRNAs corresponding amino acid is attached (by aminoacyl-tRNA synthetases). tRNAs cope with the degeneracy of the genetic code in two manners: having more than one tRNA (with a specific anti-codon) for a particular amino acid; and 'wobble' base-pairing, i.e. permitting non-standard base-pairing at the 3rd anti-codon position. The record is from RNAcentral. Lineage: Bacteria; Pseudomonadati; Pseudomonadota; Alphaproteobacteria; Rickettsiales.
GUUUAGGUAGCUCAGUUGGUAGAGCAGAAGACUGAAAAUCUUUUAGUCAGUGGUUCAAAUCCGCUUCUAAACA